Molecule: ribosomal RNA, 253 nt
Filed under: uncultured bacterium
Lineage: Bacteria
Description: partial 16S ribosomal RNA
Rfam family: Bacterial small subunit ribosomal RNA
Source: RNAcentral
UACGUAGGGGGCAAGCGUUGUCCGGAUUUAUUGGGCGUAAAGAGCGUGUAGGCGGCCAGGUAGGUCCGUUGUGAAAACUGGAGGCUUAACCUCCAGCUGUCGAUGGAAACCAUCUGGCUAGAGUCCGGAAGAGGAGAGUGGAAUUCCUGGUGUAGCGGUGAAAUGCGCAGAUAUCAGGAAGAACACCCGUGGCGAAGGCGGCUCACUGGCCCGGUACUGACGCUGAGGCACGAAAGCGUGGGGAGCAAACAGG